GAGUUUGAUCUUGGCUCAGAUUGAACGCUGGCGGCAUGCCUUACACAUGCAAGUCGAACGGUAACAGGUCUUCGGAUGCUGACGAGUGGCGAACGGGUGAGUAAUACAUCGGAACGUGCCCAGACGUGGGGGGAUAACGAGGCGAAAGCUUUGCUAAUACCGCAUACGAUCUAAGGAUGAAAGCAGGGGACCGCAAGGCCUUGCGCGUUUGGAGCGGCCGAUGGCAGGAUUAGGUAGUUGGUGGGAUAAAAGCUUACCAAGCCGACGAUCUGUAGCUGGUCUGAGAGGACGACCAGCCACACUGGGACUGAGACACGGCCCAGACUCCUACGGGAGGCAGCAGUGGGGAAUUUUGGACAAUGGCGAAAGCCUGAUCCAGCAAUGCCGCGUGCAGGAUGAAGGCC
RNAcentral lists this ribosomal RNA (404 nucleotides) under uncultured microorganism. RNAcentral's name for it is "bacterial SSU rRNA". It matches the Rfam family "Bacterial small subunit ribosomal RNA", at positions 9 to 416 of the family's 1533-position model. The record is from RNAcentral.